Molecule: ribosomal RNA, 261 nt
Filed under: uncultured archaeon
Lineage: Archaea
Description: partial 16S ribosomal RNA
Rfam family: Archaeal small subunit ribosomal RNA
Source: RNAcentral
CAGCCGUAAACGAUACUCGCUAGGUGUCGGCCACGGUGCGACCGUUGUCGGUGCCGUAGGGAAGCCGUGAAGCGAGCCACCUGGGAAGUACGGCCGCAAGGCUGAAACUUAAAGGAAUUGGCGGGGGAGCACAACAACGGGUGGAGCCUGCGGUUUAAUUGGACUCAACGCCGGACAACUCACCGGGAACGACAGCAAUAUGUAGGCCAGGCUGAAGACCUUGCCUGAAUCGCUGAGAGGAGGUGCAUGGCGUAGACGUCU